GCCAAGCGGCUCCUCGGAGGAGAAGGAGGGUGGCGAGGGCUGUACGAUGGUGCGGAAAAGCACCGGCAUCGAGUCAUUGUGCGACCGGCUGCGGCGGUAGCGGUAGGAGCAGCUAGCGGGGGAAGGCUGGCUGGGGGGAGACAGCCGCUUUCUGCAACAGUGUUCAAAGAGUUUUGCUUAAGUGUUGCUGCUCUUUAGGGCUUCCUCCAAAAAAAGAAAGGAAAGCGAAAUCUUUCCGUGCGGGAUGAAAGCGGCCUGUCUUGACUAUUUACCCAGCAAUUAUAAGUAAAUCGGUGGUGCCUAAAGGGGCUGGUUGCCAUAGUUACGAUAGGAUUGGAAGGACCAUCAUUUGGUCCUGGCCGCAGCCAAUCAGGCUGAGAAGCCAAAGCUGCAAUAUAAAGUAAAGAUUCCCAUCUUCCAGCCACACAGUUGCCAAGAAAGGGAAAUAGGUUCAAGAGUCUUGGAAAGUGCUCCGGACAGCAAGCAGGGCGGCUGCUCCCGUCAUGGCGGACUGCGAACACCCGGCAGGAGCGCGACGCAGCGGGGCAGGCAGCUUUCCCUGCAGAAAGAAGCAGAUAAUCUCCGUGGUCACUCCUGGGCCAGGGCUGGCCUCACGGCUYCUCAGACUGGGACCUCAGCUGGUGUCCAUCAGGGCAGAGCCUUUUCUGUAGCUGCUUCCCAGAGACAUCCGAACAGCCCAUGGGAUGGUGGCACAAGAUGAUGAGUCUUCUGGCAGUCUU
This 740-nucleotide long non-coding RNA is filed under the name Dromaius novaehollandiae (emu). RNAcentral describes it as "lncRNA (ENSDNVG00000000802.1)". Lineage: Eukaryota; Metazoa; Chordata; Aves; Casuariiformes; Dromaiidae. The record is from RNAcentral.